This 427-nucleotide ribosomal RNA is filed under the name Gemmatimonadota bacterium. Its description in RNAcentral is "Gemmatimonadetes bacterium partial 16S ribosomal RNA". It matches the Rfam family "Bacterial small subunit ribosomal RNA", at positions 355 to 776 of the family's 1533-position model. Lineage: Bacteria; Pseudomonadati; Gemmatimonadota. The record is from RNAcentral.
UAGGGAAUCUUCGGCAAUGGACGAAAGUCUGACCGAGCAACGCCGCGUGAGUGAAGAAGGUUUUCGGAUCGUAAAACUCUGUUGUUAGAGAAGAACAAGGACGUUAGUAACUGAACGUCCCCUGACGGUAUCUAACCAGAAAGCCACGGCUAACUACGUGCCAGCAGCCGCGGUAAUACGUAGGUGGCAAGCGUUGUCCGGAUUUAUUGGGCGUAAAGCGAGCGCAGGCGGUUUCUUAAGUCUGAUGUGAAAGCCCCCGGCUCAACCGGAGGGUCAUUGGAAACUGGGAGACUUGAGUGCAGAAGAGGAGAGUGGAAUUCCAUGUGUAGCGGUGAAAUGCGUAGAUAUAUGGAGGAACACCAGUGGCGAAGGCGGCUCUCUGGUCUGUAACUGACGCUGAGGCUCGAAAGCGUGGGGAGCAAACAGG